Molecule: ribosomal RNA, 252 nt
Filed under: uncultured bacterium
Lineage: Bacteria
Description: partial 16S ribosomal RNA
Rfam family: Bacterial small subunit ribosomal RNA
Source: RNAcentral
GACGUAGGAUGCAAGCGUUGUCCGGAUUUAUUGGGCGUAAAGAGUUCGUAGGCGGUUCGUUAAGUCUGAUGUUAAAGACUGGGGCUCAACCCCGGGAGUGCAUUGGAUACUGGCGGACUGGAGUGUGGUAGAGGCUAGUGGAAUUCCCAGUGUAGCGGUGAAAUGCGUAGAUAUUGGGAAGAACACCAGUGGCGUAGGCGACUAGCUGGGCCAUAACUGACGCUGAGGAACGAAAGCCAGGGGAGCGAAUGG